GGGGGGGGGGGGGGGGGGGGGGGGGGGGGGGGGGGGGGGGGGGGGGGGGGGGAGGGCGGGCGGGGGCGGGGGGCGGGGGGCGGGCGGGUGAGGAAGACAGCGGAAUCUACUUUUUCGUGGGGGAUAACGUAGGGGAACUUACGCUAAUACCGCAUACGACCUACGGGUGAAAGCAGGGGAUCUUCGGACCUUGCGCGAUUGAAUGAGCCGAUGUCGGAUUAGCUAGUUGGCGGGGUAAAGGCCCACCAAGGCGACGAUCCGUAGCUGGUCUGAGAGGAUGAUCAGCCACACUGAAACUGAGACACGGUCCAGACUCCUACGGGAGGCAGCAGUGGGGAAUAUUGGACAAAGGGCGCAAGCCUGAUCCAGCCAUACCGCGUGGGUGAAGAAGGCCUUCGUGUUGUAAAGCCCUUUUGUUGGGAAAGAAAAGCAGCAGGUUAAUACCCCGCUGUUCUGACGGUACCCAAAGAAUAAGCACCGGCUAACUUCGUG
This 492-nucleotide ribosomal RNA is filed under the name uncultured bacterium. Its description in RNAcentral is "partial 16S ribosomal RNA". The stretch from base 53 to 492 matches the Rfam family "Bacterial small subunit ribosomal RNA", at positions 26 to 507 of the family's 1533-position model. The record is from RNAcentral.